UUUUUUAUUAUGUUGGCGCUUUCGUUAACAUGCGAUGCAACACUUGAGGAGAGAAAUUUGUAUUAAUCACCAUUCAAUCUGACAUUCAACCUAAGUCAGCCCUGGGCAUCAUGGGCCGAUGACUGAUCGAAAGAAUCUUAUCACGCACGUGCCAAUAAUAAUGCAAUUAUGUAAAUUUUUGUUACAUACUCACACGGUCGUCUGUUCCUGUGAUACUCGCUUGAUAUCAAUAUAAGGGAGGUGUGGGAGUGCGCAAGCGCAGCCCAUGAGCCGUCGCGACGCUUCGCUAUUUUUAACGACCAAUCGCUUCUUGAAGCAGAGUACCAUACCUGAACAGCAUGAGUGUGAAGAUUGACAGAAGCGUCGGUCCGCGCUCGUGGUUGUCGCGUGGCGUGGGCGCUGUACAAAUACUGCCCGCGGGAUACCGCGCACAAAUCAACGCGUAUAGACGUGCUCGCCGGACCCCCGUAGCCCUGUGCUUGCGUAUCCAGGGCUGAAAUCAUACUGGAGCGGUUUGUGUUCCUGAGAUGAGCAAGCGCAGCCCUGCCAGCCCCCCGCCGCGGCGACAGCGCCAACAUCUCUCACCUCCGGAGCUCCGUAAUGAACAAUAUAAAUGUGCCAUUUGGAGCCGCCGACCUUCUCCGCUGUCCACGCCUAACAUCUCGGAAACUUGUACAUACAUACUGUGUUAAAUUCCAUUAAAUAAAAAUUUAAUAUGUAUACUAUUAGCAGUAUGUGAAAUUAAAAAGCUUUUAAAAAGAA
Molecule: long non-coding RNA, 762 nt
Organism: Melitaea cinxia (Glanville fritillary)
Lineage: Eukaryota; Metazoa; Arthropoda; Insecta; Lepidoptera; Nymphalidae
Exons: 4
Source: RefSeq, a predicted model, not a curated record